Molecule: ribosomal RNA, 500 nt
Filed under: uncultured bacterium
Lineage: Bacteria
Description: partial 16S ribosomal RNA
Rfam family: Bacterial small subunit ribosomal RNA
Source: RNAcentral
AUUGAACGCUGGCGGAAUGCUUUACACAUGCAAGUCGAACGGCAGCACGGACUUCGGUCUGGUGGCGAGUGGCGAACGGGUGAGUAAUGUAUCGGAACGUGCCCAGUCGUGGGGGAUAACGUAGUGAGAAUUACGCUAAUACCGCAUACGAUCUAUGGAUGAAAGCGGGGGAUCGCAAGACCUCGCGCGAUUGGAGCGGCAGAUAUCAGAUUAGGUAGUUGGUGGGGUAAAGGCCCACCAAGCCAACGAUCUGUAGCUGGUCUGAGAGGACGACCCGCAACACUGGAACUGACACACGGUCCAGACUCGGACGGGAGGCAGCAGUGAGGAAUUUUGGACAAUGGGCGAAAGCCUGAUCCAGCCAUUCCGCGUGCAGGAUGAAGGCCCUCGGGUUGUAAACUGCUUUUGUACAGAACGAAAAGGUUUCUACUAAUACUAGGAGCUCAUGACGGUACUGUAAGAAUAAGCACCGGCUAACUACGUGCCAGCCGCCGCCGUAA